This 497-nucleotide ribosomal RNA is filed under the name uncultured bacterium. Its description in RNAcentral is "partial 16S ribosomal RNA". It matches the Rfam family "Bacterial small subunit ribosomal RNA", at positions 28 to 507 of the family's 1533-position model. The record is from RNAcentral.
GAUGAACGCUGGCGGCGUGCCUAAUACAUGCAAGUCGAGCGAACAGAUGAGGAGCUUGCUCCUCUGACGUUAGCGGCGGACGGGUGAGUAACACGUGGAUAACCUACCUAUAAGACUGGGAUAACUUCGGGAAACCGGAGCUAAUACCGGAUAAUAUAUUGAACCGCAUGGUUCAAUAGUGAAAGACGGUUUUGCUGUCACUUAUAGAUGGAUCCGCGCCGCAUUAGCUAGUUGGUAAGGUAACGGCUUACCAAGGCAACGAUGCGUAGCCGACCUGAGAGGGUGAUCGGCCACACUGGAACUGUGACCCGGUCCAGACUCCUACGGGAGGCAGCAGUAGGGAAUCUUCCGCAAUGGGCGAAAGCCUGACGGAGCAACGCCGCGUGAGUGAUGAAGGUCUUCGGAUCGUAAAACUCUGUUAUUAGGGAAGAACAAAUGUGUAAGUAACUAUGCACGUCUUGACGGUACCUAAUCAGAAAGCCACGGCUAACUACGUG